Molecule: ribosomal RNA, 732 nt
Filed under: uncultured bacterium
Lineage: Bacteria
Description: bacterial SSU rRNA
Rfam family: Bacterial small subunit ribosomal RNA
Source: RNAcentral
CGACGCCGCGUGCGGGAUGAAGGCCUUCGGGUUGUAAACCGCUUUCAGUAGGGAAGAAGCGCAAGUGACGGUACCUACAAAAGAAGCACCGGCUAACUAUGUGCCAGCAGCCGCGGUAAUACAUAGGGUGCAAGCGUUGUCCGGAAUUAUUGGGCGUAAAGAGCUCGUAGGUUGUUCGUUACGUCGGAUGUGAAAAUCUGAGGCUUAACCUCAGACCUGCAUUCGAUACGGGCGAACUAGAGUGUGGUAGGGGAGACUGGAAUUCCUGGUGUAGCGGUGGAAUGCGCAGAUAUCAGGAGGAACACCAAUGGCGAAGGCAGGUCUCUGGGCCAUUACUGACACUGAGGAGCGAAAGUCUGGGGAGCGAACAGGAUUAGAUACCCUGGUAGUCCAGACCGUAAACGGUGGGCGCUAGUUGUGGGAACCUUCCACGGUUUCUGCGACGCAGCUAACGCAUUAAGCGCCCCGCCUGGGGAGUACGAUCGCAAGAUUAAAACUCAAAGGAAUUGACGGGGCCCCGUACAAGCAGCGGAGCAUGCGGCUUAAUUCGACGCAACGCGAAGAACUUACAAGGCUUGAAUAUAGAGAAAGCAUAGAGAUAUGUGUCGCAGGCUUUACGUGGGCUGGUGUCGUCAGUCUGUCGGGAGCGGUAAUCCGCAGAGGCACCUCGUUGGUUGCAGCUUAUUGGGCUCCGAAUGCGGUAUCGAGAGUGGUAGUAUCAGCCUUUUUGGG